RNAcentral lists this ribosomal RNA (476 nucleotides) under Armatimonadota bacterium. Its description in RNAcentral is "bacterial SSU rRNA". It matches the Rfam family "Bacterial small subunit ribosomal RNA", at positions 1 to 505 of the family's 1533-position model. The record is from RNAcentral. Lineage: Bacteria; Bacillati; Armatimonadota.
UCUUCGGAGAGUUUGAUCAUGGCUCAGGACGAACGCUGGCGGCGUGCCUAAAACAUGCAAGUCGAACGGGGUAGCAAUACCUAGUGGCGAACGGCGGAGUAAUACAUAAGCAACGUGCCCCAAAGACCGGGAUAGUCAUUGGAAACGAUGGGUAAUACCGGAUGUGGCGAGUUGAGGACAUCCUCGACUCAUUAAAGGGUUUUUCGCUUUGGGAGCGGCUUAUGGCCUAUCAGGUAGUUGGUGAGGUAACGGCUCACCAAGCCGACGACGGGUAGCGGGUCUGAGAGGAUGAUCCGCUCGAGUGGGACUGAGACACGGCCCACACACCUACGGGUGGCAGCAGUUGGGAAUCUUGCACAAUGGGGGAAACCCUGAUGCAGCGACGCCGCGUGAGCGAUGAAGCCCUUCGGGGUGUAAAGCUCUUUCGACGGGAACGAUAAUGACGGUACCCGGAGAAGAAGCCCCGGCUAACUUCG